CUUAACACCUACACUGCUGUCUCCUCUCCCACCACGCUUCGCUGCUCGAACGCAUUCGAUUCUCUCUCUCCCCGUUUCUGCCACCCACCAAAAUCCCGACCCUCUUCGCCAUCAUCAAUGUCUUUGCCGAAUCAGCAGACGGUCGAUCACCCAAGCUUCAAGCUUCUCAUCGUCGGCUAUGGAGGCACAGGCUUCGGUCUAGUUAUUUUAGUGGUCGGGAUCAGGAAAAUGUAAAAUGCUCGUGGCUAUAUCCUUGAAGAUAGAGGAUUUACCAUUUGAAGUGGCGAGCAGUAUGUUUUUACACAAUUUCUGGGGAUUUGUCCAAAACGAACGGUGUCAGACGAGAAGCGGUUUUGCGAUCUUCUUCAUUUGUCACGACACAGAAGCCAUGGGGUGCAUCUUUUCUUCCUAGUGUCAAGCAAUG
Long non-coding RNA from Eucalyptus grandis, 424 nucleotides. RefSeq lists it as uncharacterized. NCBI's taxonomy places the organism in Eukaryota, Viridiplantae, Streptophyta, Magnoliopsida, Myrtales, Myrtaceae. The transcript has 3 exons. The record is from RefSeq and is a predicted model, not a curated record.